Small nucleolar RNA from Vicia villosa (hairy vetch), 88 nucleotides. RefSeq annotates it as small nucleolar RNA snoR27. The record is from RefSeq and is a predicted model, not a curated record. The transcript has a single exon. NCBI's taxonomy places the organism in Eukaryota, Viridiplantae, Streptophyta, Magnoliopsida, Fabales, Fabaceae.
AAUGGAUCUAUGAUGUUAUUUUAAACUUCGUUUGUAUCUGAAAUCUUACUAGAGGAACUGAGGAUGAACUAUUUUGCUGCGAUCCAAU